Molecule: ribosomal RNA, 629 nt
Filed under: marine sediment metagenome
Description: SSU rRNA
Rfam family: Bacterial small subunit ribosomal RNA
Source: RNAcentral
GAUAAACGCUGGCGGCGUGCCUAAUGCAUGCAAGCUGAACGGCCCGAUUUAUCGGGCAGUGGCGAACGGGUGAGUAACACGUAAGAACCAACCCUCAAGUGGGGGAUAACCCCGAGAAAUCGGGGCUAAUACCGCAUGAGCUCCCCGAUUAUGUCGGGGAGGAAAGCUGAGGCGCUUGAGGACGGGCUUGCGUCCGAUUAGCUAGUUGGUGUGGUAAUGGCUCACCAAGGCUGAGAUCGGUAGCUGGUUUGAGAGGACGAUCAGCCACACUGGGAUUGAGAUACGGCCCAGACUCCUACGGGAGGCAGCAGCAGGGAAUAUUGCGCAAUGGGUGAAAGCCUGACGCAGCAACGCCGCGUGGGGGAAGAAGGUCUUCGGGUUGUAAACCCCUUUUCUCGGGGAAGAUAAUGACGGUACCCGAGGAAUAAGUCUCGGCUAACUACGUGCCAGCAGCCGCGGUAAGACGUAGGAGGCGAGCGUUAUCCGGAUUUACUGGGCGUAAAGGGCGUGUAGGCGGCCCUUCAAGUCUUUGGUGAAAUCUCCCGACUCAAUUGGGAGGGUGCCAGAGAAACUGGAGAGCUUGAGGACAGCAGAGGGGGGUGGAAUUCCCGGUGUAGUGGUGAUAUGCG